GUGUCAGCAGCCGCGGUAAUACGAAGGGGGCUAGCGUUGUUCGGAAUCACUGGGCGUAAAGCGCGCGUAGGCGGAUUGUUAAGUCAGGGGUGAAAUCCCGAGGCUCAACCUCGGAACUGCCUUUGAUACUGGCGAUCUUGAGUCCGGGAGAGGUGAGUGGAACUCCUAGUGUAGAGGUGAAAUUCGUAGAUAUUAGGAAGAACACCAGUGGCGAAGGCGGCUCACUGGCCCGGUACUGACGCUGAUGUGCGACAGCGUGGGGAGCAAACAGGAUUAGAAACCCUGGUAGUCC
Molecule: ribosomal RNA, 292 nt
Filed under: uncultured bacterium
Lineage: Bacteria
Description: partial 16S ribosomal RNA
Rfam family: Bacterial small subunit ribosomal RNA
Source: RNAcentral